CCUACGGGAGGCAGCAGUGGGGAAUAUUGCACAAUGGGCGAAAGCCUGAUGCAGCGACGCCGCGUGAGGGAUGACGGCCUUCGGGUUGUAAACCUCUUUCAGCAGGGACGAAGCGCAAGUGACGGUACCUGCAGAAGAAGCACCGGCUAACUACGUGCCAGCAGCCGCGGUAAUACGUAGGGUGCAAGCGUUGUCCGGAAUUACUGGGCGUAAAGGGUUCGUAGGCGGUUUGUCGCGUCGUUUGUGAAAACCAGCAGCUCAACUACUGGCUUGCAGGCGAUACGGGCAGACUUGAGUACUGCAGGGGAGACUGGAAUUCCUGGUGUAGCGGUGAAAUGCGCAGAUAUCAGGAGGAACACCGGUGGCGAAGGCGGGUCUCUGGGCAGUAACUGACGCUGAGGAACGAAAGCGUGGGUAGCGAACAGGAUUAGAUACCCUGGUAGUCCACGCCGUAAACGGUGGGCGCUAGGUGUGGGUUCCUUCCACGGAAUCCGUGCCGUAGCUAACGCAUUAAGCGCCCCGCCUGGGGAGUACGGCCGCAAGGCUAAAACUCAAAGGAAUUGACGG
RNAcentral lists this ribosomal RNA (567 nucleotides) under uncultured bacterium. Its description in RNAcentral is "bacterial SSU rRNA". It matches the Rfam family "Bacterial small subunit ribosomal RNA", at positions 338 to 916 of the family's 1533-position model. The record is from RNAcentral.